RNAcentral lists this long non-coding RNA (1902 nucleotides) under Mus musculus (house mouse). RNAcentral describes it as "long non-coding RNA chr9:8978438-8980340". The record is from RNAcentral. Lineage: Eukaryota; Metazoa; Chordata; Mammalia; Rodentia; Muridae.
AAAUCACCUACGAAGCCACUUCACAUGCUAGAACACUCACAUGCACAUGGCCUUUUUUCCCUAAGUAAUUGCCAAAUGCAUGCUAAAAAUCAAGUCACCACAUAAUUUCAUGCAUUAUUAUAGGAUUAUAUUAACAAAUUAAUCAGUUUUGGAUUACCAAAUUUGUGAUUUUUUUUAAGAACCCAAAACCCCAAAGCUUAUGGAUAUAGAUGUUCAUUGGGGAAAAAAAAGUGAAAUAUUCAGACGUCAAAAAUAUUUGAAUGUUAAUUUGGAAAAUCAUUAUGUUGUAUAAGAGAGGUCCAUUUGUAUGGCAGCCUGGGGAAGGGAUUGGAAAGUCCUGUGGAUGCUCAACCUCACCUCUGCUGUGUAGUUCAAGAGGAUGACAUUUCUAUAAAGUUAUAUUCUAAGGUAGCAGAUCUGUGAGAACCUAUGUUCUGGUAAGUGCGAUACUUUUUUGAGGGAGAUAACUGAAAAUGCAUAUUCUCAUAACCUUUAUUCCCAUUCUCCAAAUAGAAAAUCUCAUCCAUUAUUAUGUAAGAUGUUCUUCCCUCCCCCAUAGGAUAAAUUUUAUGAAAAAGGAAAGACUAUUAUACUUAAAAUUCAUGUGUAAGAAGUUUAUUCUGCUGUGUUAGAAUUCUUUCUGAGACCAGCACACGUCUGUUAGGCGAUGGCAGGCUUGGGGAGAUAUGGUUAAGCUGCGGUGAUAGACUUCUCUGCUGGUUUGAGUUCUGCUAUACAGUUACACAGUGCAACUCAUGGUGGGCUUACACUUAGGGGCUCAUCACACGUAGCAUCAUUUUUAUGUUUUAAAAGUUUGAUCUGAAUUUAGUUACUUGUGUCAGGGAGAUCUUUUUCUCCAUUAUGUUUUUAUCCCAAGUUAUUUCUCCUGAGCCAGGGCUUUCUUUGGAAUCCUUCUGACUGAGAAUGAGUGUGUGCAUCCAGCUCAUGAAUGAACACUGCCAGUGUAGAGAAUGAUGUGGACGAUCUUGCCCUGCAGAUAACAAGCAGAGGCAUGGAUGCUUAGCGUUCUACACAGUGAUCAACAAACACUAUUGAAUUGAGUUGAGUUAGUUACCAGUGGAAAUCUUAAGUUUCUCCAAUCUUUGUUAUCAUUUUCUCUAUUAAAAAAGAAAAAAAAAAGUGCACCUUAGGUACUUUUUCUAGUCAGCCAUCAAUGAGAGGAGAGGCCCUUGGUCUUGCGAAGAUCAUAUGCCCCAGUACAGGGGAAUGCCAGGGCCAGGAAGCAGGAGUGGGUGGGUUGGGGAGCAGGGUGGGGGGAGGGUAUAGUUGACUUUGGGGAUAGCGUUUGAAAUGUAAAUUAAGAAUAUAUCUAAUAAAAAAGUAAAAAAAGAAAUAAAGUAAAAAAAAGUGCAAUAUGAUAUUCUCUGUAUGAAGAAUGGGCUGUAUGAAAUAUUCAAAACAUAAUUUGUUUUUGUAAACCACUGGACAAUUUUAACAGCAUUUUAUUUAAAUUUUAAUGCUUGAUGCUCAUACUGAAAUCUACAUAAUAAUGACUUAAUAAAAAUUUUAAUAGAAUUUAUUUAAUUUCAUGCUGUAAAUUUCUCUUUAAAUCUGUGUAAUUAUAUUUAUUGGAAAAUGCUAGAAACAUUUGAUUUCUUCCUAAUUUCCUAUACAUAUACAAAUAAUCUGAAGUAAUGUAUGAUAUUAAACAAUAAUUCUUUCAAUUAAUUUUAUAAUUAUUUUCUCCAUUAUGUUGUAAAAUUGGAUACUCUCAUACUAAAACAUAAAAUACUUAAAAUAUUAAUAUUUUGAUUUGUGAUGCUUUCAACCCCAAUGCAGUUUUUUUCUUCAUUUUUUCUGAAUUCUGGGUUGUUUUGGUUUUUUUGUUUUUUUGUUUUUUGUAAAUUUGAACUAUCUUUUUUAUAUAAAAACUGUUUAAUC